AAAUUGAAGAGUUUGAUCAUGGCUCAGAUUGAACGCUGGCGGCAGGCCUAACACAUGCAAGUCGAACGGUAACAGGAAGCAGCUUGCUGCUUCGCUGACGAGUGGCGGACGGGUGAGUAAUGUCUGGGAAACUGCCUGAUGGAGGGGGAUAACUACUGGAAACGGUGGCUAAUACCGCAUAACGUCGCAAGACCAAAGAGGGGGACCUUCGGGCCUCUUGCCAUCAGAUGUGCCCAGAUGGGAUUAGCUAGUUGGUGAGGUAACGGCUCACCAAGGCGACG
Molecule: ribosomal RNA, 281 nt
Filed under: Salmonella enterica
Lineage: Bacteria; Pseudomonadati; Pseudomonadota; Gammaproteobacteria; Enterobacterales; Enterobacteriaceae
Also listed under: 2 other names
Description: partial 16S ribosomal RNA
Rfam family: Bacterial small subunit ribosomal RNA
Source: RNAcentral